GCCCCCCCCAGAAUGGAACCCGGCGGUUAAUUUUACCCCACCCCGGAAAACCCCCCCCGGCCCGACCCCCUAAGGGAUGGCCAAAUGGAAACCCCUUUCUUGAUUCGUGGGUGGGGGGGCCUGGGCCUUCCUAAUUGGGGGAACCAAUUUUCCGGGUUAUUUCCAAUACCAAACAAACCCCUGGCCAAUUAAUAAAAGACAGAUUUAAAACUGUACCGCACUUCUCUUAGGGGCACACGGGGUUUUCCCCCACGCAAAAUAGAAAUAACACGUGUCUGAUACCCCUUUAUGUCCCGGGCUCCGCGCGCGCUCUACUCUAAGAAACAUCUGCGCGUUAAAACCUUUGUCGAAAGAGCCUGGUAACCCCAUCAAAUUCCUUCGUGCUUGGGAUCGGGAAUUGCAAUUAUUUCCCUUGAACGAGGAAUUCCCAGUAAAUGCGGGUCAUAAGCU
This 450-nucleotide ribosomal RNA is filed under the name uncultured eukaryote. Its description in RNAcentral is "partial 18S ribosomal RNA". It matches the Rfam family "Eukaryotic small subunit ribosomal RNA", at positions 1167 to 1636 of the family's 1831-position model. The record is from RNAcentral.